GAUCGUUUUUGAGGGGGCGACCCCUUCUGCCACGGUGGUGAUCGCUAGGGUUGAGUGCGAUGUUGAACCUGUAAUCCUUUGCCUGUUAGGAUAGUUUUUGCUUUCAGUUAGCUGAAUAACCGGCUCUGACUCGUGUGCAUGUACACGCAGAAGCUGUUUUCGUUUUCAGUUAGUAGCUAGCUAGAUUAGUGCGGCCGUUGUGAGCGCAUGGGAUGGCAUGCAGCGUAGGACUCGGCCUGCACUCACCUCGCGCACGACGGGCGACGUGGGAUGGCACGUCCGGUAGGCUCGGCGGCGUGGAGGGUUUUUCGUUUCCCAGUUGAUGUACAAAUAAGCUGAAGAUUAAUGAGAAAAGCUGUUGAACUGUGCGCAGCACAAAAACCUCUGGCGUUUUCGUUUUCCUCUCUUUUCUCCUCGGCGAUCGUGAUCUAGGCCUCGCCGGAGCUCUCGGCUCCAACAAGUGGCAUCAGAGCCGCGUAGCUCCUCGGUGACCAUGGCCGGCUUGACUUCCCCGGCAAACGCUGCAGCCCACCAGCGCGACGGCAGCGACAGUGGUGGCGCGCUCUCGCCGACUCCCGACCGCGGUCGUAGCCGUGGUCGCAGCCGCACCCGCCGGUACGGCAAGGAGGUCGUCGUCCACGAGCGCACGGUCCAGGAGCGUCUCGUCCCGAGCGGCACCACCGUGUGGCCAAUGCUCACGCCGACAAACUACUUCGAGUGGUCUAUGUUGAUGCAGAUUAACAUGGAGGCCAACUUGAUGUGGGACGCGGUGGAAAGGAACCCGUCGAGCGUCCCCAACGACAAGGCGGCGCUGGCGGCCAUUCUGCGAUCCAUACCGCCGGAGAUGGUGGGUGCGAUCGUGGUUAAGAAGACCGCAAAGGAGGCAUGGGAUACGAUCAAGACCAUGCACAUGGGAGUCGCGCGCGUGCACGAGGCCACGGCGCAACGGCUGCGCUCCGAGUUUGAGGCCAUCGCAUUCCGCGACGGCGAGACGCUUGACGCAUUCAGCAUGCGGAUCACUUCACUCGUCAACAACCUGCGCUCGCUCGGCGACACCAUGGAAGAGGUGAGGGUGGUUCGGAAAUUCCUGCGCGUCGUCCCGCCCCGCUACAUGCAGAUCGCCCUCGCCGUCGAGAUGAUGCUCGACCUCAACACGCUUUCAGUUGAGGAGCUCGUCGGCUGUCUGCGCUCUGCGGAGGAGCGCUACCUCACCAACGAUCAAGGUGGAGGCGGCGGGGCUCAGCUCCUGAUGACGGAGGCGCAAUGGCACGCGCGCAAGAAUCAGCGCGGCCAAGGGCAGGGCAGCAGCCAGAACGGCGGCCAAGGAGGCCUCGGCGGACCAGGCGGGUCCGGCGGACAAGGCGGCGGCUCAAGUCGUCGCCGCGGCAAGCCACGUCGAGGCGGUGGCCAAGGCGGUGGCGGAAACGGCGUCCGUGAUGGCGCGCCGCACGGGGAACGCGACAUGUCUCAGGUGAAGUGCUACAAUUGCAAUAAACCUGGGCAUUUCUCGAAGCACUGCACCGAGCCGCGCCGUGAACGCAAGGAUCAGGCGAACCUUGCGGUGGCGGGCAACCAAGAUGAUGAGGCGACUCUUCUGCUCGCCACGGUCACCGCGCUCACGGUCACGACUGAGCGCCCGGUCGAGCGGGUUCUUCUCAACGAGGAACGCUCCCAGGCGCGCGUUGCCCAGGAGGGCGGCACCUGCGACACCUCCUGGUAUCUGGACAUCGGGGCUAGCAAUCAUAUGUCCGGUCGCCGCGAGAUCUUCUCCGAGCUUGACGUGGGAGCGCGGGGGACCGUGAGGCUCGGCGACGGCUCCAGUGUGCAGAUCGAGGGGAGAGGGACGAUCCUCUUCAAGUGCCGCAGCGGGGAACACCUGACGCUUGCAGAGGUAUACUACAUACCCCGUCUGUGCAUCAACAUCAUGAGCAUUGGUCAGAUGAAUGAGCUCGGCUGCGAGACGGUGAUCCACGACAGGGUCCUUCGCCUCCGCAAUCCGGAUGGGCGGCUGCUCGCGCGCGCGGCGCAUAACGUCGAGCGUCUCUACGUCCUUCCCCUGGCGCUAACCAAGCCGGUGUGCCUGCUGGCGAGCGGCGACGACACGGCAUGGCUGUGGCAUUCGCGCUACGGCCACCUGAACUUCAGGGCGCUGCGCGAACUCGCGCGCCUGGAGAUGGCAAAUGGCAUGCCCCUCGUCGACCGCGUCGACCAGUACUGCGACGGAUGCGCCCUGGGCAAGUAGCAUCGGCUCCCAUUCCCGCAGGCCUCGGCGUACCGCGCGGAGCAUGCGCUCGAGCUCGUCCACACGGACCUCUGUGGUCUGAUCGAGCCGGCGACGACCGGAGGUAAUCGAUAUUUCCUGCUGGUAGUUGAUGAUCACUCACGUUACAUGUGGCUGGAGGUGAUCAAAUCCAAGGAUGAGGCGUUUCAACGUUUCAAAAGGAUCAAGGCCCUUGCUGAAGCUGAAUCUGGGCGCCGGCUCAUGGCGUUCCGCUCCGAUCGGGGCGGGGAGUUCAACUCCACAUAAUUCCGUCUGUACUGUGAGGAUGGAGGGAUCAAGCACUGCACCACCGCGCCAUACACGCCGCAGCAAAACAGUGUGGUCGAGAGGCGCAACCAGACCGUGGUGGAGAUGGCGCGGUGCCUGCUCAAGAGCAUGGCCGCGCCCGCCAUGUUUUGGGGCGACGCGGUCAAGACCGCGGUUUACCUGCUCAAUCGAUCCCCCACGCGCAGCGUCGACGGGCAGACGCUGUACGAAGCGUGGCACAAGAAGAAGCCGGCGGUCCAUCACCUGCGCACAUUCCGGUGCGUUGCCCACGUCAAGCGAGUCGGCCCCGACAUCGACAAACUGGCCGACCGCUCAACGCCGAUGAUUUUCAUCGGCUACGCCAAAGGAGCCAAGGCAUACAGGGUGUUUGAUCCGGCCACGAACAAGGUGCACGUCACGCGUGAUGUCGUUUUUGAAGAACAGAGGAAGUGGGACUGGACGCCGGUGCCAGGCGCUGCGGCGACUCCCAAGGACGAACACUUUGUGGUCGUCUACAACGACGAACAGAGCGUCGACAUGCAGCCUUCCUCGUUGAGCUCAGACAGGUCGUCCUCGUCAUCCUCUUCACCAAGCUCCUACGCGCCGGGGAGCUGUCCGACUACACCGAUAACGCCAGCGUGCUCUCCAACCCCUGAUGACGACGGCUGGGCUACGCCGCCUAGUGACGACUGGGAGCGGCACGACCUCGACCAUGCGCCAACGCGCUACCGCAAGAUGACACAUGUACUGGCUGAGGUAGAAGUGGCGAGAGAAGACCAAGUGGGUCUCUGCCUCAUCGCUACUGAAGAACCCGCUGGCGUCGAUGAAGCGCUGGAGGAGGCGUGCUGGAUGCGCGCCAUGGACGCCGAGUUGGUCGCGAUCCGUGAGAACAAGACCUGGGAGCUCGCCGCGCUCCCGCCUGGGCACCGAGCGAUAGGGCUCAAAUGGGUGUUCAAGGUCAAGAGGGAUCCCGCCGGCAAGAUUGUGAAGCAUAAGGCGCGUUUGGUGGCGAAGGGCUACUCGCAGCGGCAAGGCGUGGAUUACGACGAGGUGUUCGCGCCGGUAGCUCGCAUGGAAACAGUGCGGCUACUGCUGGCGUUGGCAGCGCGGCAAGGGUGGCAAGUCCAUCACAUGGACGUCAAGUCGGCAUUCUUGAAUGGUUACCUGAUCGAGGAAGUCUACGUCCACCAGCCACCGGGUUUUGUCAUCGCCGGCGAGGAAGGAAAGGUGCUGCGUCUCCGGAAGGCCUUGUACGGUCUGAAACAGGCGCCCCGAGGGUGGUACGCCAAGCUGGACACGUCGCCUGCGCCGCUCGGGUUCGAGCGCAGCCCCCUCGAGCAUGCGGUGUACAGGAGGAGCACCGGCGCGGGGACACUGCUGGUCGGCAUGUACGUGGACGAUCUGAUCAUCACCGGCAGCAGCAUCGACGACAUCAAGGAGCAGAUGAGCAGUGUGUUUGACAUGAGUGAUCUCGGCCUCCUGAGCUAUUAUCUUGGGAUCGAGGUACGACAGAAGGACGGAGAGAUCACUCUCUGUCAGAGCGCGUACGCCAUGAAGAUCCUCGAAGCUGCUGCGAUGAGGGGGUGCAACGCUAGCGACACUCCUAUGCAGAAUCGUCUCCAGCUGUCCAAGACUGGGGCUGGCGACGCCGUGGAUGCCACACGGUACAGAAGCGUCGUCGGCAGCCUUCGAUACCUUUGCAACACACGACCCGACAUCACCUACGCCGUCGGCAUCGUCAGCAGGUAUCUGGAGGCGCCUGCAGAAUUGCAUUGGGCUGCGGUGAAGCAAAUCCUCCGCUAUGUUAGCGGGACUUUGGAGUAUGGUUGCUGCUACAAGCGGGGAGGUAAUGCAGCGCCGGAGGUGAUCGGCUACAGCGACAGCGACCACGCUGGUAACGUUGAUGAUCGCCGGAGCACGACUAGUGUGGUGUUCUUCCUCGACUCCAGCGCGAUCACGUGGAUAUCUCAGAAGCAAAAGGUCGUCGCCAUCUCGUCUUGUGAGGCUGAGUACAUGGCGGCGGCAUCUGCAGCAUGCCAGGGCGUGUGGCUGUGCAGGCUCCUUGGUGAGCUCACCGGCGACGCGCCAACGACGGCGAAGCUGCGCGUCGACAACAAGUCGGCGAUAGAGCUCAGAAAGAACCCGGUGCAUCACGAAAGAAGUAAGCACAUUGACAUACGAUAUCAUUUCAUUCGUGAAUGCAUUGGAGAUGGCAAGGUGGAUGUCGACCAUGUGGGCACUGACGGACAGCUUGCUGAUGUCCUCACCAAGGCGCCGGGCAGAAUCAAGUUCAUUGAGCUUCGACAGAAGCUCGGCGUCGUUAAGGUGAUCUCAGGGCACAAGGAUUAGGGGGUGAAUUGUUGAGCCUGUAAUCCUUUGCCUGUUAGGAUAGUUUUUGCUUUCAGUUAGCUGAAUAACCGGCUCUGACUCGUGUGCAUGUACACGCAGAAGCUGUUUUCGUUUUCAGUUAGUAGCUAGCUAGAUUAGUGCGGCCGUUGUGAGCGCAUGGGAUGGCAUGCAGCGUAGGACUCGGCCUGCACUCACCUCGCGCACGAGGGGCGACGUGGGAUGGCACGUCCGGUAGGCUCGGCGGCGUGGAGGGUUUUUCGUUUCCCAGUUGAUGUACAAAUAAGCUGAAGAUUAAUGAGAAAAGCUGCUGAACUGUGCGCAGCACAAAAACCUCUGGCGUUUUCGUUUUCCUCUCUUUUCUCCGCGGCGAUCGUGAUCUAGGCCUCGCCAGAGCUCUCGGCUCCAACAUGCGAGGCCCGGGCUUGGAGUACGGCUGGUCUGCUUAAGGGCGACCUCUCCUCCUUCCUUGGGUCCCUAGCUAGGUGGGUAGCGGGCGAAUAGUUGGCUAGCUUGUGGGUGGAUGGGGAGUCCGCAUGUAUUGUAAUCGCAUGUAAGACUCUGGCGGAUGGGGCUCUUUACCCCCUUUCUCUCUAUAAUAUAUGAUACACACGCUUGUGUGUAUCCUCAAAAAAAAAGCAAUAUUGCAUUUUCCCUUAUUUGGUUAGUUAGGCCAACUGAAUUUACUUACCUGUGUCCCUAACAAUCUAUUCCCUUCCUUUGUAGAAUAUUGCGCAUCACGACCAAUUCAGGCCAUGGAGAGAUGAUUUCAAACAGUACAAAGUUACUAUGGUAGAAAUAGAAUGAGAUCACAAACAGAAUUACAGAAGAGUUUGUGCUUUCUCGAUUGGGGUGUCACAGCCCCAGUUUCUCCUUGUUUUACUAGUUUGGUCUCCAUUGUGCAUCUUACACUGGUUGCUAUUGUUAUUUUGUCUCCAAAAACGUAGAGCUGAUGCUACCAGAAAGUAGUAGCAUAUCACUCCCCAAAAUCAAUUAUCUACAGACAGGGGUAUACCAUAGUUUGCUCAGCCUUUUCUUUCAGACAGAAGGUUUAUGGACGACAAUGUAUUGUUUUUAUAUGUGCAACUGCAGUCAUAACGUUGGAGUGCUCUCUGGUUCAUGCAUCUUUCUCAUGGAAGAGCAAGUGUGUACAAAUCAGCCUUUGGAUGGGAAAACCACUUUCUAGCGGAGUUAUAUACAUCUUUUUCUUUGAGUGAAAUAUACGUCUGUUUACAUCUGGGAUCUAGCUGCUGUUGAAUUUGACGUGGGGUUUGCCCAUGCUGAAAUUGAGCACCCUAGAUCUCAUGACGUACCUUUUCUUUUUUGACGGAACCUCGCUGUGCUCCUGAAGAAGAAUAUAUAUAUAGUUGGCUCGAUUUAUACAGAAAACUAGCUUGAAAAAGCAUACAAGGAAUGAUUGAGUAAGGGCCGAGCAUGCAAAAACCCUGAUAACGAAAAGAAAAAGAAAGAUCACCGGCCAAACUUGAC
RNAcentral lists this long non-coding RNA (6361 nucleotides) under Triticum aestivum (bread wheat). RNAcentral's name for it is "long non-coding RNA (TAES_LNC022866)". The record is from RNAcentral. Lineage: Eukaryota; Viridiplantae; Streptophyta; Magnoliopsida; Poales; Poaceae.